Molecule: transfer RNA, 86 nt
Filed under: Chitinophagales bacterium
Lineage: Bacteria; Pseudomonadati; Bacteroidota; Chitinophagia; Chitinophagales
Description: tRNA-Leu
Rfam family: tRNA
About the family: Transfer RNA (tRNA) molecules are approximately 80 nucleotides in length. Their secondary structure includes four short double-helical elements and three loops (D, anti-codon, and T loops). Further hydrogen bonds mediate the characteristic L-shaped molecular structure. tRNAs have two regions of fundamental functional importance: the anti-codon, which is responsible for specific mRNA codon recognition, and the 3' end, to which the tRNAs corresponding amino acid is attached (by aminoacyl-tRNA synthetases). tRNAs cope with the degeneracy of the genetic code in two manners: having more than one tRNA (with a specific anti-codon) for a particular amino acid; and 'wobble' base-pairing, i.e. permitting non-standard base-pairing at the 3rd anti-codon position.
Source: RNAcentral
GCCGUGGUGGUGGAAUUGGUAGACACGCAGGACUUAAAAUCCUGUGCUACUUAAAUAGCGUGCGGGUUCGAUUCCCGCCCGCGGUA